UCUGAACUUGAACUAGGUUCACUAGGUUCGAGAUGCCUCCUCUUUCUUCUCAAAUCACGUUCAAAAUCGUCGUUGAAAUCCAAGAUGUGUGCAAGCACAGUUCGAGAACUCCGCGUCAUGCACUAGUACCUAAACCAAGAAAACAAAACAAAAUCAGAAAACUAAGUAAAUUAUACUAAAACACACGGCAAAAACACAAGGGAUUAGCAAUUUU
This 214-nucleotide long non-coding RNA is filed under the name Malus domestica (apple). RNAcentral describes it as "long non-coding RNA (MDOM_LNC020684)". Lineage: Eukaryota; Viridiplantae; Streptophyta; Magnoliopsida; Rosales; Rosaceae. The record is from RNAcentral.